RNAcentral lists this ribosomal RNA (490 nucleotides) under uncultured bacterium. RNAcentral's name for it is "partial 16S ribosomal RNA". It matches the Rfam family "Bacterial small subunit ribosomal RNA", at positions 30 to 507 of the family's 1533-position model. The record is from RNAcentral.
AUUGAACGCUGGCGGCAGGCCUAACACAUGCAAGUCGAACGGUAACAGGAGGCAGCUUGCUGCUUCGCUGACGAGUGGCGGACGGGUGAGUAAUGUCUGGGAAGCUGCCUGAUGGAGGGGGAUAACUACUGGAAACGGUAGCUAAUACCGCAUAAUGUCGCAAGGCCAAAGAGGGGGACCUUCGGGCCUCUUGCCAUCGGAUGUGCCCAGAUGGGAUUAGCUUGUUGGUGGGGUAACGGCUCACCAAGGCGACGAUCCCUAGCUGGUCUGAGAGGAUGACCAGCCACACUGGAACUGAGACACGGUCCAGACUCCUACGGGAGGCAGCAGUGGGGAAUAUUGCACAAUGGGCGCAAGCCUGAUGCAGCCAUGCCGCGUGUAUGAAGAAGGCCUUCGGGUUGUAAAGUACUUUCAGCGGGGAGGAAGGGAGUAAAGUUAAUACCUUUGCUCAUUGACGUUACCCGCAGAAGAAGCACCGGCUAACUCCGUG